This 493-nucleotide ribosomal RNA is filed under the name uncultured bacterium. Its description in RNAcentral is "partial 16S ribosomal RNA". It matches the Rfam family "Bacterial small subunit ribosomal RNA", at positions 30 to 523 of the family's 1533-position model. The record is from RNAcentral.
AUUGAACGCUGGCGGCAUGCUUUACACAUGCAAGUCGAACGGUAACAGGUUAAGCUGACGAGUGGCGAACGGGUGAGUAAUGCAUCGGAACGUGCCCAGUCGUGGGGGAUAACACUUCGAAAGAAGUGCUAUUACCGCAUACGAUCUGAGGAUGAAAGCGGGGGACCGUAAGGCCUCGCGCGAUCGGAGCGGCCGAUGUCAGAUUAGGUAGUUGGUGGGGUAAAGGCUCACCAAGCCGACGAUCUGUAGCUGGUCUGAGAGGACGACCAGCCACACUGGGACUGAGACACGGCCCAGACUCCUACGGGAGGCAGCAGUGGGGAAUUUUGGACAAUGGGCGCAAGCCUGAUCCAGCAAUGCCGCGUGCAGGAAGAAGGCCUUCGGGUUGUAAACUGCUUUUGUACGGAGCGAAAAGGCUCUCUCUAAUACAGGGGGCUCAUGACGGUACCGUAAGAAUAAGCACCGGCUAACUACGUGCCAGCCGCCGCCGUAA